This 61-nucleotide transfer RNA is filed under the name Triticum aestivum (bread wheat). It matches the Rfam family "tRNA", at positions 13 to 71 of the family's 71-position model. Rfam says of the family: Transfer RNA (tRNA) molecules are approximately 80 nucleotides in length. Their secondary structure includes four short double-helical elements and three loops (D, anti-codon, and T loops). Further hydrogen bonds mediate the characteristic L-shaped molecular structure. tRNAs have two regions of fundamental functional importance: the anti-codon, which is responsible for specific mRNA codon recognition, and the 3' end, to which the tRNAs corresponding amino acid is attached (by aminoacyl-tRNA synthetases). tRNAs cope with the degeneracy of the genetic code in two manners: having more than one tRNA (with a specific anti-codon) for a particular amino acid; and 'wobble' base-pairing, i.e. permitting non-standard base-pairing at the 3rd anti-codon position. The record is from Rfam by way of RNAcentral. Lineage: Eukaryota; Viridiplantae; Streptophyta; Magnoliopsida; Poales; Poaceae.
UUGCUCGUCAAGAUACUCGGCUCUCACCCGAGAGACCCGGGUUCAAGUCCCGGCGAGGAAU